Molecule: long non-coding RNA, 4135 nt
Organism: Manis pentadactyla (Chinese pangolin)
Lineage: Eukaryota; Metazoa; Chordata; Mammalia; Pholidota; Manidae
Exons: 4
Source: RefSeq, a predicted model, not a curated record
GGAGACAGCGGGGGGCGCCCAGGAGGCGGCUCUGGCCCAGGUCGUCGCAGCAGCACAGGAGGCUGUAACACAGGGAUGGGAACCCGGGGGCAGACCUCGCCAACAUCCAGACCCAGACCUGGGCGGAGACACAAGCACUCUACCCUGAUACGCGGUGCCACCACAUUGACACGCACAUGCACGCCAUACAGACACACGUGGCCUGGAAUCGGACAUCGUGCCCUGUGCGCACACGCGCGCGCGGGACGGGGACACACGCUCUAGACGCGGAUGGGCGGAGGAGCCGAGCGACAAUUCUUAGUGACCGUGCCUAGAACAGGCACGAGUGACCAACCCCAGUGCUGCUCUGAGUGACCACACCAGUGGAUCAGAACCGUGCAUCAGAACAGGUCUAAAUGGCUGUGGCCAAGAACACAGCUAAAUACUCGCCCCACAAUAAUGCCAAAUCACUGUGCCCUUGUGUUCACCAAGUGGAUGCCCCCACAGAAUGACCACAGAGUGACCACCCCCACCCCCACAAACUGAACGUCCUCAUUCAGACUUAUUCAGGCUCUUCAGGGAAUCACCUGGUCAGGCUCCGUGGGCCUUAGCCCAAGCCAGGGAAUAUUUUGUCCCCACAUCAGACCCAUCCCUAGAAACUUUAGGCCAAUCCCUCUGCAUAGAUAAUAAUAACUACCAACUUUGUUUCAAGCCUUCUGCCUGUUGGUUCACUUAAUAUUCACCACAACCUAUGAGAUUUUACGAUUAUCCGCACAAUGUCUCACUUCCUUAAUUCUAAUAGUGGCUAACAUUGACUGAGCGCUUGUUUUGUGUCAGUAAUGUGCGUAUCACUUGGCACGCACUGCCUCCAUUAUCUUUGGAGAUAGGUACUUGUUAAAAUUCCUAAUUUACAGAUAGUAAAAUUAAGGCUUAAUGGACUCAAUAACUGACAGAUUAAACCCAGGUGGUCCAACUCCAGGUUCGAGCUCUUAAUGACAGUGGUUUGGAGUUCCCUAACUCCCUUCCACCAUUUUCACAGAAUUUCAUCCUGGGCUCCUCUCCCAGAUGUGAACCAAUCUGUCGCUAUCACUUCUAAAAUCUGACUUGGGACUGAAUGAGGAGUUCUAGGUCUAAGUUGAAACGUUCAACAAGACUCUCACUUCCCAUCUGUAAAUUCUAUUUCGAGUGAUGCCACCUUCAACUCCAUUAUCUUUUUCUUGCAGCUACAUCACACUGCUGGUAGCUCAAGCUUGUAGCCAAGUAACAUCUCUAAGUGUUUCUUACAAGUGCUGCUGAUUGAGGCAUAUCUACCCCGCACUGUGCUUGUACAGUGGGCUUUUUGGAACCCAACAUGUAGUUCCUUACACAUUUGACCUGAUUAAAUUUUCUCUUGUCUCAUCAGCUCACUGCUCCAGUUUUUUUAGAAUGUCUUCUUGAGUCAUGAAUCAUGAUAUAUCUCUGAUUUAUUCGAAAAGAAGUAGAAAGACUAAAUCCAACAGCUUUACUCUUGAUUCCAGGUGUACCUCGGGCAAGUGGAUUGACCUCCGUGAGCCUCAGGUUUCUCAGCUGUAAAAUGGGGAGUUAUGAUUAACUUUGAACACCUGGGGUUCUAAUGUUGUGGCAUUUGUGAUUCCAUUAUUCAAAGCAUGAACCACUAUUGGCAUUGUGUCAUCUCCAUGUUUGAUUACAACCUCAAAUUGUUAAUUCCUCAAAUUGUUAAUAAUAAUGUCAAAACAAAUAUGUUGAAAGGAGUUCUAAUACAUACUUUCAACAGUUUUUCACAUUAUGAACUUGCUAUUUCUGCACUUCACUGUUAAAAUUACAAGAUUAAAUGUGGAUUAAUCCACUCUGACAAGCACUUUUUUUCUUAGGAAAAAAUUGAAUAUGGUUAUUUCUCAGAAUUCUGUACUUGGCUCAAUUUAAAAAUUAUUUUUAUCUUUGAAUUCAUAUCUGAAGUUCCUGGGUAUUCAGAUAUAUCAGAGCCAAGAAGAUUUGUCUCUUCAAAUUUCCAACCAGAGUAAUGACCAUGAUUUGGAUAGAAUUUUUCAGGAGUGAGACAGUGGACAUGCCUGCUCAUCUUUGCGCCACUCCCCACCCCAUCUUUUCAGAAGUGAUUCUCCUUUGAGGGGAUAGCGUAGGAUUAUAUUGGGAUGUGUGGUUUGUUAAAUAACACUCACUUACACAAGACGCAUGUUAAUUUUCCUAUCACAUGAAAGAAGAUGAAGGUGAUUCAGGGCUGGUGUGUGUUAGGGACAUUGUUAGGGAUUCAGGCUCUACCACGUGUUUCCUCGCCAUGUAGUACAAGAUAACUUAUUCAUCUCCAGCCAUCAUGCCCACAUUCUGGCUAUCAGAGAGGAAGAAAUGACAGAGAAGAACAUGCCAUACCCCUCUGAGGACAUUUCCUGAAAGUUGCCUGCAUCACUUCCACUUACAUCCAAUUGGUCAGAACCUUAUCACAUGGCUUUCUAGCUUCAAGAGAUCCUUUGAAAUGUCGUCUUGACUUUGCCUUGCUCUAUGCCUGGCUUACAUUUGGGUAUUUUGGUACCAAGAAAGAACAGAAAAAAAUUAAUGGAAGCAACUAGUAACCUCUACCAGCCUUGGAGAAUUUUCCCUCUUUCUUUUCCUAGGUGGCUGUGUGGCUGUUCAAAGGCAGGUGUAUGGCCAACCCCAGACAAUCAUAAUUUUCUAAUCAUACUUCAGUGUUUCAAAGCAACUCAGAUCUUUUCAGUGAGCAUCAAACACAGAACCUUCACUCAAACUGUUGGAAAAGAGCAACUCUCUUUCUCCUGAGAUGAUGAACUAGUAAAAAAUCAGCCUGAAGCUUAUAAUGGUCAUCUCUUCCAUCAAGAGGGGAAACUCUGGAGAAUGAAGCAAACACAGAGGAAAGGACUCAGAGAUGGAGAAUCAGAUGCCUGAUGGUGUCCUUUAAGCCUCUGAAUCUAGCCAUGCCAGAAACACAGUCCCUAGAUUUUUUUGCUCCAACUGAUUAUCUUUCUGUUAAUACUUAGAACUGGAAGAGUUGUGACUCAUAGAAAAAACAAUUGCCACCUCAGUUACAAGGAACAGGGACCAUUUAAUAAAAAAUGGUGGAGGUGGGGUGGGGGCUCAUUUUCAAGGCUAUGCACAGACUUAGACUAGAAUGCUCCAAAAUCUGAGACAGAGGAUCCAACUACUCUCUCCAUCUUCUCUACUCCUCCUUGUAUCUUACUUAUUUUCAUCUCCCUCUUUACUGUCUUUACCCCCUUUGCUUAUGAAUCAGUAAAUGGUUACUGAGUUGCAAGCAACAGAAACUGACUUUGGCUAAUAUCAGCAAAAAGUGGAAUUUGCCAGAGCUCACACAUUCCAGAAUAGCUUUGAGGCAACUCACAGAGUUAAGACCAGGGAACUGGGCUCCGAAACAGAAGAGCAUCCCCAGAACACAUUUCUCUUCCUUCCCUUUCUUUCUGAGUCUUGGUUUUCUCUUUUGACUCAAUAUCAUCUUGAGUCUUCCUUCCCACUCUUAUGCCCUGCAUUUCAGACCUUCAAUUUAAAAUUAUAAACCAAGGAAAUUUUCUUUCCUUUAAGUCUUUGGGCCCAAUCAAGCCAUAUUAUUCAGUUUUAUUUCAGUAUAAGUGUCCAAUUUUCUCCCUCGAGCUGAGUUUUGUAAAAUGUGAGAAAAUAUUCCAAAGAAGGUAGAUACUCUGAGGCUAAGGAUUGGGAGAUGGAAUUGUGUGGUAUGCAGGUUGUGUGAGGUGCAAAGUUCACAUCUGAGCCCAGAGGGUGUAAAUGAAUAGGAAAGAGGUUGAGAGUGAGAACGAGAGAAGAUUUUACACAUGCUCCACACUCCGGAUAAAACCAGAGGGCCAAAGUUCAAGGGACUAGAUAUUGCCAAUAGAGGGUUGAUUUUAAAUACUUUGCAAGAUUCCAACCUUUUUGUCAUUUCCAUGUUGGUUUACUUCUGUUUUGGGCAAUAAUAAUCAUAAUAACACCAGGCUGCCUGUAUUGAGAUUCACCCAGCACCAGGCACUGGGCUAAGCAUUUAGAUGCAUUACCUAAUUUAAACCUCUCAAUAAACCAGGAAGACAGGGAUUAUUACUGCCCCUAUUUUAUAAACAGGGAAAGAGCCUCAAGUAGGUUGAAUUUUCCAUGUUCUCACAGGUGCUGCAGGCUGCAGAAG